GACGAACGCUGGCGGCGUGCUUAACACAUGCAAGUCGAGCGGUAAGGCCCUUUCGGGGUACACGAGCGGCGAACGGGUGAGCAACACGUGGGUGACCUGCCCUUAGCUCUGGGAUAAGCCUGGGAAACUGGGUCUAAUACCGGAUAUGACUCCAUGACGCAUGUUGUGGGGUGGAAAGCCUUGUGCGGCUAGGGAUGGGCCCGCGGCCUAUCAGCUUGUUGGUGGGGUGANGGCCUACCAAGGCGACGACGGGUAGCCGGCCUGAGAGGGCGACCGGCCACACUGGGACUGAGACACGGCCCAGACUCCUACGGGAGGCAGCAGUGGGGAAUCUUGCGCAAUGGGCGAAAGCCUGACGCAGCGACGCCGCGUGGGGAUGACGGCCU
Molecule: ribosomal RNA, 386 nt
Filed under: uncultured bacterium
Lineage: Bacteria
Description: bacterial SSU rRNA
Rfam family: Bacterial small subunit ribosomal RNA
Source: RNAcentral